UGAGCAAUCUGCCCUUCUCUUCGGAAUAAGCGUUGGAAACGACGUCUAAUGCCGAAUACGACCUCCUUUCGCAUGAUCGGAGGUGGAAAGCUCCGGCGGAGAAGGAUGAGCUCGCGGCCUAUCAGCUAGUUGGUGUGGGUAACGGCCCACCAAGGCGACGACGGGUAGCCGGCCUGAGAGGGUGACCGGCCACACUGGGACCGAGACACGGCCCAGACUCCUACGGGAGGCAG
This 233-nucleotide ribosomal RNA is filed under the name uncultured bacterium. RNAcentral's name for it is "partial 16S ribosomal RNA". It matches the Rfam family "Bacterial small subunit ribosomal RNA", at positions 118 to 351 of the family's 1533-position model. The record is from RNAcentral.